Molecule: non-coding RNA, 1830 nt
Organism: Dermacentor albipictus
Lineage: Eukaryota; Metazoa; Arthropoda; Arachnida; Ixodida; Ixodidae
Source: RefSeq, a predicted model, not a curated record
UUGAGCGCGGGAAGCUGCUGUGUGCCGGUAUGCCGGGGUAGGCUAGACAGCUCAAAAUUUUCUGUUUGUACUUACGAGGCAGCAGUAUUUGACAGAAAAUAAUAAUACUUUGAUGCUCUUCUCACGCCUACAAGCGAAGGCGGCGUGAUUAACAACACAGCGUAAUGCGCAACGGUGAACGCCAACGAACUCCACCACCAACCUGGACGAAGCAUUUUGGAUAAUGAAUGGCUACCUGAACACUGCUUGAAGCGGCAAGCUCUACAGUAUCACUUAUGCUCCUUUCCAUGGGUUGGCAAGAGGAACCGUGGCACGCAGCUCCACAGGCACCUGUGCUCUUCACUACCUUCGGAGAAGAUGCAUUGGAUGCUCCCUAUCAUGCACUGCCAUCUCAACAGUACCAUGGCUUUUUGUGUGGAUUCCUUCCAUUCUGAAUGCCACCACUGCUUGCACAGCAUCACAGCCUGCCUGCCUUGAUCUUGCGGAAGAAGAAAAUACAAAAUGCCGAUUUUUUGAAAUGCGUGCAUGGCUCCACGCAAGACACCACCUGCCGUCAGGGUGUUAGGGCUUUGUGCAGAGAAAAUGUUUGUAAUAAUGCCUUGUGUGUGCCCUAGUGGCUAAAUGUUGGCCUCUUUGCCUGUGUAAAAAUUUCACACUUAUGGAUACUGCUAAGGGUUCCUGCAUUAUUAUUACUUACAGGUUACUGUUAAGGAUUCCUGUAUUGGAAAUUUUUGUUUCAUUAUAAAACUAAAAAUUAUAGUUGAAUUGCUGCUUUGUGUGAUAUGCAAUAUUCAGCCGAAGGUGGUCAGCAGAGGUCGAACAAGCGUUAUAUCAGGUGGAGAAUUUUUUUUGAGCAGGGGACUUCUUCGUUAGGGUAACAACUGUUUUCCUUGGCAUUAUUUAUAUAGUUCACUUUUCUCCACUUCAUGGAUAUCCAGCAAAAUGACUGAGUGCAUAGGGAGGGUGAGGCAAGUUUAAAUGCUCAACAUGGGGAUUUAGUUUGGAUAGCAAGGUGUGUAGAAGUAUGGGAGUUUGGCAGGCUGCUGACACCGAUUUCUAUGAGUGAUCUUGUUUGUGUCAAUGUCGGUUAUAUAAUGCGAGGCGUCUUCUGAGGCAAGAAACUAAAAAGCUCCUUAUAGUUGUGGAAAUUCAGUACGUGCCCCCUGGGGCUACCAUGGGUGUGUCACUGUGGCCAUUGGUUAUCACUUGGGGCACAACUUUUUUGACACAAACUUGUGUAUGUACACUGGGUGUGUGCCACUGCAUGUGUGCCACUCUUUAAUGGACCUCUUUGAUGCCGACUUGUAUGCUGACCAAGCUUGUACAGCACGAUCUGCGGCCGAGACUUGUCUAUUGGUGGUGUAGUGGGCGGAUUUUGUUCUGUGCGAGUGCGCGUUCGAUCGUGCGAUGACGAGGCUUCAGCGCACCUAUAGCGGAAUCGGCGAAAUGCACUAGCCUUAAAGAUGGUCGCCGCAAGCCGCUGAAUCUCGGAAGCCCUGAUUUCAGUUUCGCUUCUUUUAUUAUUUUUUUUUGCGUGACCCAUAACGUUGCUUAAAUCGAGGGAUUUCAUGCAGGCGCUUGUGCCACUGUUUAUAUGUUGCGACGACAAGCGCUCAAUGGUGUUUCACUUUAUGUUAGUUUUAUUUAAAUUCAUAUUUGCUGUUUCAACGUCUAACUUUGCGCAACAGCCAUGCUAACUGUUGAGGAAGAAGAACUUUAUCUCUUGUGGUAUUGUACGCCUAGUAACUCACGCUAAAAUGUGUAUCGUAAAUAAAUGUGCCAUGUUCCUUAAAUAUAAAUGAACUCGCUUGAAAGUGAAGAACACGAAUA